This 253-nucleotide ribosomal RNA is filed under the name uncultured bacterium. RNAcentral describes it as "partial 16S ribosomal RNA". It matches the Rfam family "Bacterial small subunit ribosomal RNA", at positions 524 to 776 of the family's 1533-position model. The record is from RNAcentral.
UACAGAGGGGGCAAGCGUUGUUCGGAAUUACUGGGCGUAAAGGGCGCGUAGGCGGCCCGCUAAGUCGAACGUGAAAUCCCCGAGCUCAACUCGGGAACUGCGUCCGAUACUGGCGGGCUUGAAUCCGGGAGAGGGAUGCGGAAUUCCGGGUGUAGCGGUGAAAUGCGUAGAUAUCCGGAGGAACACCGGUGGCGAAGGCGGCUUCCUGGACCGACACUGACGCUGAGGCGCGAAAGCGUGGGGAGCGAACAGG